This 253-nucleotide ribosomal RNA is filed under the name uncultured bacterium. Its description in RNAcentral is "partial 16S ribosomal RNA". It matches the Rfam family "Bacterial small subunit ribosomal RNA", at positions 524 to 776 of the family's 1533-position model. The record is from RNAcentral.
UACGGAGGGUGCAAGCGUUGUCCGGAAUUAUUGGGCGUAAAGGGCUCGUAGGCGGUCCAUCGCGUGGGGAGUGAAAAGCUGGGGCUUAACCCCAGUCCUGCUUCCGAUACGGGUGGACUAGAGGUAGGUAGGGGAGAUCGGAAUUCCUGGUGUAGCGGUGAAAUGCGCAGAUAUCAGGAGGAACACCGGUGGCGAAGGCGGAUCUCUGGGCCUUACCUGACGCUGAGGCGCGAAAGCAUGGGGAGCAAACAGG